This 391-nucleotide ribosomal RNA is filed under the name uncultured bacterium. Its description in RNAcentral is "bacterial SSU rRNA". It matches the Rfam family "Bacterial small subunit ribosomal RNA", at positions 28 to 420 of the family's 1533-position model. The record is from RNAcentral.
GACGAACGCUGGCGGCGUGCUUAACACAUGCAAGUCGAGCGGUAAGGCCCUUUCGGGGGUACACGAGCGGCGAACGGGUGAGUAACACGUGGGUGACCUGCCUUUAGCUCUGGGAUAAGCCUGGGAAACCGGGUCUAAUACCGGAUAUGACUCCGCGGCGCAUGUUGUGGGGUGGAAAGCCUUGUGCGGCUGGAGAUGGGCCCGCGGCCUAUCAGCUUGUUGGUGGGGUGANGGCCUACCAAGGCGACGACGGGUAGCCGGCCUGAGAGGGCGACCGGCCACACUGGGACUGAGACACGGCCCAGACUCCUACGGGAGGCAGCAGUGGGGAAUCUUGCGCAAUGGGCGAAAGCCUGACGCAGCGACGCCGCGUGAGGGAUGACGGCCUGGU